AGUCAUAUGCUUGUCUCAAAGAUUAAGCCAUGCAUGUCUCAGUACAAGCCAAAUUAAGGUGAAACCGCGAAAGGCUCAUUAAAUCAGUUAUGGUUCCUUAGAUCGUACCCACAUUUACUUGGAUAACUGUGGUAAUUCUAGAGCUAAUACAUGCCAACAGAACUCCGACCGGAGACGGAAGGAGUGCCUUUAUUAGAUCAAAACCAAUCGGUGGCGCGACUUCGGUCGUGUCAUCGUACAACAUGGUGAAUCUGAAUAACGUUUGCUGAUCGCACGGUCUCGCACCGGCGACGCAUCUUUCAAAUGUCUGCCUUAUCAACUGUCGAUGGUAGGUUCUGCGCCUACCAUGGUUGUAACGGGUAACGGGGAAUCAGGGUUCGAUUCCGGAGAGGGAGCCUGAGAAACGGCUACCACAUCCAAGGAAGGCAGCAGGCGCGCAAAUUNCCCACUCCCGGCACGGGGAGGUAGUGACGAAAAA
RNAcentral lists this ribosomal RNA (478 nucleotides) under Speonomus curvipes. RNAcentral's name for it is "SSU rRNA". It matches the Rfam family "Eukaryotic small subunit ribosomal RNA", at positions 22 to 477 of the family's 1831-position model. The record is from RNAcentral. Lineage: Eukaryota; Metazoa; Arthropoda; Insecta; Coleoptera; Leiodidae.